This 505-nucleotide ribosomal RNA is filed under the name uncultured bacterium. RNAcentral describes it as "partial 16S ribosomal RNA". It matches the Rfam family "Bacterial small subunit ribosomal RNA", at positions 28 to 507 of the family's 1533-position model. The record is from RNAcentral.
GACGAACGCUGGCGGCGUGCCUAAUACAUGCAAGUAGAACGCACAGUUUAUACCGUAGCUUGCUACGCCAUAGACUGUGAGUUGCGAACGGGUGAGUAACGCGUAGGUAACCUGCCUGGUAGCGGGGGAUAACUAUUGGAAACGAUAGCUAAUACCGCAUAAUAUUAAUUAUUGCAUGAUAAUUAAUUGAAAGGUGCAAUUGCACCACUACCAGAUGGACCUGCGUUGUAUUAGCUAGUAGGUGAGGUAACGGCUCACCUAGGCGACGAUACAUAGCCGACCUGAGAGGGUGAUCGGCCACACUGGGACUGAGACACGGCCCAGACCCCUACGGGAGGCAGCAGUAGGGAAUCUUCGGCAAUGGACGAAAGUCUGACCGAGCAACGCCGCGUGAGUGAAGAAGGUUGUCGGAUCGUAAAGCUCUGUUGUAAGAGAAGAACGGGUGUGAGAGUGGAAAGUUCACACUGUGACGGUAUCUUACCAGAAAGGGACGGCUAACUACGUG